RNAcentral lists this microRNA (22 nucleotides) under Dasypus novemcinctus (nine-banded armadillo). RNAcentral describes it as "dno-miR-758-5p". Its record names the gene dno-miR-758-5p. RNAcentral also lists the same sequence under 12 other names. Lineage: Eukaryota; Metazoa; Chordata; Mammalia; Cingulata; Dasypodidae. The record is from miRBase by way of RNAcentral.
AUGGUUGACCAGAGAGCACACG